Lolium rigidum is the source of this 666-nucleotide long non-coding RNA. RefSeq lists it as uncharacterized. The transcript is spliced from 3 exons. NCBI's taxonomy places the organism in Eukaryota, Viridiplantae, Streptophyta, Magnoliopsida, Poales, Poaceae. The record is from RefSeq and is a predicted model, not a curated record.
ACUAGUCAACUGCCUAAAUAUAGAGUGCAUCUACAGGAAGCUAAGUUAUUGCUGCAUGUCUAAUGUAAUUCUCAGUUAGUACUUUAUCAGUAUUGUCAAUGAUGUAUAUUAUUUCCCCUCUGCACCAGGUCGACAAGCCGCCGGUGGCUUCCCCCACCGCCCCUCCUCCCAGAUGAUACAGGAAGCCAUGGCGGCGUGACUGGCCCGCUCGCCGAUGCCGCGUGUGUUGUUUCAGUGACGCCGCGCGUCUCCGUCAAUCAUGCUGGUCUGUGUCAUGCGCGUGGGCGAGGGAGCAUGACGCGGUGCUGCACGCAGCCAUGGGGCACCGGCGACUAGGAGGUCGACCUGCUCAUCCCGGAGACGCCACCGUUCCAGGGGCUUGUAGGCGUCAGCUUCAAAGGGUAUCGCCAUGGCCGACAUGGGCAGCCUGGAGCGCCUCCAAAAAUAGUAGUAGCACGUGAUCCGCAAGGAGCUGCCGGUGGUGGUCGUGCCUCACCUGCUUCCCCAGCUACAUGUUUGAGUGUGCAUGUAGCUUACACCAUUGCACCUGCUGGCUGCUGCAUAUAUUGUAUUUGCUGUCAGUUGGUUCAAUGCAAAUAUUAGUUUUGGGAGUGAUUAUUGGGAUUGGUGAUCUUGUGCUAGUCGUUUAUUUAGUCACCGCAUGCU